UACAGAGGGUGCAAGCGUUGUUCGGAAUUACUGGGCGUAAAGCGCGUGUAGGCGGCUUAUUAAGUCGGACGUGAAAUCCCUUGGCUCAACCAAGGAACUGCGUCCGAUACUGCUAGGCUUGAGUGUCGGAGGGGAUGGCGGAAUUCCCGGUGUAGAGGUGAAAUUCGUAGAUAUCGGGAGGAACACCUGUGGCGAAGGCGGCCAUCUGGAAGACAACUGACGCUGAGACGCGAAAGCGUGGGGAGCAAACAGG
RNAcentral lists this ribosomal RNA (253 nucleotides) under uncultured bacterium. Its description in RNAcentral is "partial 16S ribosomal RNA". It matches the Rfam family "Bacterial small subunit ribosomal RNA", at positions 524 to 776 of the family's 1533-position model. The record is from RNAcentral.